This 1868-nucleotide long non-coding RNA is filed under the name Homo sapiens (human). Its description in RNAcentral is "HSALNT0353792". Lineage: Eukaryota; Metazoa; Chordata; Mammalia; Primates; Hominidae. The record is from RNAcentral.
GAAGAGCACUGGGCAGGGGGGUCAGAGGAUGAAGGCCAGACUGACUGCUGGCCGCCGCCAACUAGCUAGCUAUGUGAGCCAACCUCUCAGCCUGAGUUUUCUUGUCUGUGAAAUGAGACUGGGGGUAAAAGGAAGUGGUAAAAGACCCUUCUAGCAACCAAAUUCUGUGAUUUAUGAAUAUUGUAACCUGUAAACUUUCAAUGGCACCAAGGUGAUUGUGAGGACCACAGUAGCCUGCUAAUGUAAGCACUAUUCUUCAGGUCACAGUUUCAGGGCCAAAACACCAUCCUUCCCAGGUCGUCAAGUAAUUCUCCUCGGUAGAUGAUCUGCUGAGGCCGGCGAUUAUUCAGCCCUUCGGGAGGUGAGUGCAGAGCUGUUUUUCUCACCAUCUUUAGCCUUCUGGGUAUUCCUCAUGCUUCCCCCUCUCUCAGGAGAAUCUCUUGCCUCCUCCUCAUCUUCUUCUUCCUGAUUUAUCACUGCCUCUGCCCCAUCUGACAUUAGGAAAGUGUUUCAUCGUGCUCGAGUAGAAGAUUUCAUGGGAAACAGACUACCAUCUUUGGAACAGGAUCCGAUAUGAAUAAUUCUUUGAAACAUUUUUCUCUGCAUGUCUGUAUCUUAGUCAACUUUCAGUUUCCCCUGCUUGAGGAGAGUGGGGCAUGUAGACAAUCCAAAUGUCAUCUAUAUUUGGCUUUAGAGUGUGUUUUCUACUUAGCUUUGAGUUCUGGAUAGAUCUGCGAUUCUGGGAACUGACUUUAAACAAAAUCACGAAGCUUUGCAGUGAAGACACAUCUGACUCACAAUGUCCUUUGCUGCAUCUGCAUUUGAGCUGCCCAAGAGCCCAACUAAAUUAAUCCCUCCAGAAGUAAAGGAGAUGAAAUCAACCAAUCUGAGGAAAGCCUGACCAAGGCAUUCAUGUAUCAAAAAGAUAUGGAAUACCUACCCACUGCAUACAUGAUACUAGAAAUCCUACAGCUUCCCUGCACAGUGGCUGUGGUUUUCAUUUAUAUGAAACUGAGGCCAGAGAGGUAAAGAACUUGGCCUGAAGUCACAUGGGGCACUGGGUAUUAUUUGAAGCAGUUUUUUUCAAAAAAGUCACGGAGAAACAUUACUCAGAGCCUCUCCCUCACACCCUGCAGAUAGAGCUCUGAAUCUCGGCAUCUGUGAGUUGUUUCUUUUGGGCUUUUUAAAAAGUCUUCCAGAAUUGUGGAAUGGGAUAGUUUCAGUUAAAAUAUCUGUUUUUGAAAAUCAUGACCAAUAAUAAAAAUCAAGAAUGUCCUAUUACAUAUUUCAUACCUUUAAGAAUUUUGUUUUGCUCUAAUUGGUCUUAUUGGAUUAAAUGAUUUCUAAAGUCUUCUCUGGGACUUCACUUUUGUGUUUCAAGUUUCUUAUCCAUCUGAAAGCCAUAUAUUUGGGUUAAACCAAAUUAUUAGCAAUAGGUAUCUUUGUAGAAUUUCUAGUAGUUUGGAAGGAGUUGAAUGUACUAGAAUCAUAGCACGUAUUUCAGCUGCUUUAUUAGCAGUCUAGCUAAGGGGAGUUUAUUGUUCCAGUUUUAGUCAUUAUAAUACAGCCCUGUUUAAUAUUGCAUGAUCUGUGGGUUGCCAUAAACUUGGUACAAAUUGGAGUGCUGAUAUAACAUGAAAUGAAGCGCCUUGUCUGAAUGUUGCUUUUGUUUUGCAUUUAACAAAUUAGUAUGUUGACAUUUGUCACUGAUGGAUUUCAUUAUUUGCUGAAAGGGUUUUAGGGGGUUUGACAGCAUGAAUGGUUUGUCUUACAGACUUUUGAGAAUUGAUAAAAGCAUCUUUGUUCUUUGUACAAAAGCACAACAGAUAUCGUAUUGAUGGACACACAAAAAGGGAUGGCUUGUGUAG